This 3660-nucleotide long non-coding RNA is filed under the name Heterocephalus glaber (naked mole-rat). RNAcentral's name for it is "lncRNA (ENSHGLG00000032342.1)". The record is from RNAcentral. Lineage: Eukaryota; Metazoa; Chordata; Mammalia; Rodentia; Bathyergidae.
AAUAGCCAUGGACUUCAUCUCAUCUUAAGCAGUAAUACAUUUAUGCAGUUGGAUCUCCUCAUGCGUACUUCCAAUCACAUCUCCCUUCACAUGGGUCACUUUGUAGCCAAUCAGAUCCUCUCUUCCUUGCCCGGCUCCUGAAGCCUGGCCUGUUGGUCCCGCCGAGGCUGCCAGUGGCACCCCAAGGCACUCUGGGCAGAGGUUCCACUGCUCGCAGCCCAGCAGGCAAACGCUAGAACUCGCUAGCUCCUUUAUCGUUUCAAGAUGCGAAUGAAGCGUCCUCCUGUGGGGCUUGGGAGAUGGCUUCCAUGGCAACUGCCACAGAGGUGACAGGUCCGAGAAGCGUGGGAGAAUUCGCUUCCUGAGGUUAAACCAAGGACAGCUAGAAGACCGGAGGAAGUGAAAGAUCCAUCUCCCCUCCCCCGCCCUCGGAGCGCUUGUUCCGAGGAUGGUUCUUUGUACUGCCUGUGCUGUUAACAUGCUGACUUGUUUUUCUAUCCCAUCCUUUCCUGUCUUCAGUUUGUCUUUCUUCCCCUUUGGCACCUUGAAUUUGCGUAUCACCAAAAUUGUUAGCAUGCAAUCUCUGUAUGGGGUUCUCUUUUCUAGGAGACAUGACUGACUUACGAUGUUCAUCAUUCAGAGGUAACUGAUGGAUUUGAGAUUUUCUUUUCCUAUUUGAUUCAUCUUAAAUUGGCUUCUGCAGAGGAUGUGAGGAUUUGGAUUUUCUAAUGCAGGGAGACCAGUAUUGAGUAAGAUCUGUGCCUAUGGAAGUAUAUGCUAGUGGAAUCACAUGAUCCUAGGGUUGGAAGUUGCCUUGCUGGUGCAUGAUCAUCUACCUCAAUCCAAAGGAUUUGAGCAUUACUCUCCAACUACAAAAGACCUCCGAACUGAGAAGGAAUGAAUCUCUGACCCAUUUGUGAAUAAGCCAGGUGAACUGACUUUGUGCUAGAGAGGAUCAACUGGUUGAGAGUGCAAAUGAUGAUGGCCUUAAAAGUGUGAGACCGAGGGCCUUAUCAAACGCUCCGAGGAGCUGACUGCAGCGACGAUCACCCGGGAAGGAACACACCGGACAAGUUGGAAAGUAAAACAGACCUUUAUUAGUCUGGCCAGACGGCACUCCCAAAGCAAAGUAGCUAAGAGAGGCAACUGGCUCAGAGUCCGAGGCUGUUUUAUAGGGGGUUGAGGGGGAGGUUAACAUAUAGAAUUAAAGAAAAGAGGACAAAGGUUAGUGGUCGACUGUCACGUAUUGGUGGUCAGCAGACAUUUGCAGCUUGUUCUAUAGAUUGUGGUGUCCGGAACAUCAGUUCCAGGCAAACAAGGAGUUGAGUAGUUUACUUUGGGACUUUAGGUCUGUUACAGAUUUUAUCUAGUGUCCCAAAACUAACAAGCAUCUUUAUCCAUUAACUCACAUUUAAUCACAAUGGGGCUGGAGAAAAGGAACAAAGGUUAUGCAGUCCCACAAAAGUAUGUCUGAGACAACUUGAGAUCUCCAUACAUUCUGGAUUAAGGUGAAGGCAGAGUAUCCUGAGAUUACCACAAAAGCACUGAAAGAGGGCUGCUUUCAUUUCUAACAUUCUGUCUUUGUGGUGCAGGGUUUUCCACAGUGACGGCAGCCAAAACGAGAUUAUGGAUCAGUCUAAACAUAAGCAGCACACUUCGGGUGUCACUGUCCUUCAUCACCCUCAGAUGGGAUCAUUGAGUAGCAGGAAAUCAAGCUCGAGACUCCCACUGAUUCUGCAUUGUGUGAGGUGUGCAGUUAUUUCAUAAUCUAUUACAACAUAAUAAAAAUACAAAUAAAGCCUACAAUAAAUAUAAUGUACUUGAAUCAUUCUCCAUUAAUGGAAAAGUUGUCUUCCAUGAAACCAGUCCCUGGUGCCAAAAAAUUUGAAGAUUUCUGGCCUAAAAUAUAAUCUACCCUGGAGAAUGUUCCAUGUGCACUUGAGAAAAAUGCUGGGGAGAAUGUUGCAUGUGUGUAUGUCUGACUAUUAUGUCCAUUUAAUCUAUAGCAUUCACGUCUACUGUCUGUUGAUUUUCUGUCUGGAUAGUCUAUCCAUUGUUGAAAGUGGUUAUAAUGAAGGUUACUAUUACUGUAUUCCUAUUUCUCAUUCAGUUCUGCUCCUAUUUGCAGUAUAUAUUCAGCAGUUCUGAUGUUAGAUGCAUAGAUAUUUACAGCUGCUAUAUCCUGUCAAGGAACUGAUCCCUGUGUCAGUACCUAAGAACUUUCUUUUCCUCUUGCGACAGUGUUUGGCAAAAGGCUAUUUAAUCUGACAUAAGUAUAGCCACCUCUGCUUUCUUCAGGUUACAUUUGCAUGAAAUAUCUUUUUCAUCUCUUCACUUUAUACUACUUGUGUCUUUAAUGCUAAAGUGAGUCCCUUUGGGGCAGAGUAUAGUUGAGUGUUUUUAAAAAAUAUAUUGUACGUUGUAUUUUAAAAUGCACUUAAAAUACAUUAUAAAAUACCAGAAUUCAUUCUGUUUCUUUUGAUCAAAGGUUUUAAUAAAGUUAUAUUUAAAAUAAUUAUUGACAUGUAAGAAUUUACUACUGUAAUUUUGUUAACUAUGUUUUUACUAUUUUGUAGUGUCUUUGUUCCCCAGUUUCUGUAUUGUUCUUCAUUCUUUUGUGAUUUGAAUACUUUUUGUAGUUCUACAAUUUGAUUUCUUUAUCAUUGUUUGAAGUAUCUGCUACAAGGUUUUUUCUUUGUGCUUACAAUGAAGCUUACGUAAAGCAUCUUAAAACAGGCAAUUUUAAGCUGAUAAGUUUAAUUACAUACAGAAACUACACAUUAACUUCUUUUGCUCAACAUUUUAUGUUCUUGUUGUCACAAAUACUUGUGUAUCCAUUAACAAAUUAUUACAGUUAUUUUUAGUACUUUUGUGUUUUAACUUUGUACUGGCGUUAAAAGCGAUAUUUACACAAUUGUGGUAGUAUUAGAAAAUAAAUUAGAAUUUAUUUAUAUUUUAACCUUUCCAGUGGGUUUUAUAUUUUCAUGUAUCUUCUUGUUAGUUUUUAUUGUUUCAUUUCCACAGGAAGAACUCUCAUAACAUUUCUUAUAAGGCAGUUCUAGUGGUAUGACCCCCUUCCACUUUUGUGUGCCCCAGCCAAUCUUUAUCGCCUUCAUUUCUUUUUUUUUUUUUUUUCCAGUACCAGGGAUCAAACUCAGGACUUUGCACUUUUGAGGCAGGUUCGGUGCCACUGAGCUAAAUUCCUGGCCCUCGCCAGCAUUUCUGAUAGACAACUUGCCAAGUAUAAUAAUCUUGGCUGGCAGUUUGUUCCCCCAGCACGUGAAUAUGUCAUCCCAUGAGCUGCCAGUGUCAUGGUACAUUUUCUUCGCUCUUUCUGAAACUUUCUAUCUCCAGAAAUCUACACUCCCUCACUUUUUCCAGAACUCAGAUAUCACCUCAUCAGAGCUGUCCUGAACUGCCCAGUCUAAAAUAGCUCCCUGGACCCAUCAGCCUCUGUCCCCUGGAAUCAGUCCCAUGAUAACGUUGCUGGAUUUGCAGCAUAAAGUAACUUCACAGGAGCAGGAGCACAUGAGUGAAUCUCCCCCCACCCCCGUUCCCCUGAGGGAGAGAGCGUCUCCCUGAAGGCAGAACCAGUGCCACCCGCUUCUCUUGUUACAGCUGUCACCACCCAGAGCUCCAUAAACAGCCAGAACAGUGAGC